AGUAAAUGCACCAGAAUGCUGUGAGUGUUUGGCUGCUACUGCUGGCUGAACCAGGGGAGCCAGGGAGAAACGCUGGAAGAAGAAAAAAGUAUCUGAUCAUCUUCAUAUCCUUGAAGACAAACAAACAACAAACAAGCUUGAGGGAGGACAUGGAGGUACUGGGUUGGAGAUGGAACACCAAUCUCAGAGGGGAAGAUCUAAUGCCAGAUGCUCUUCCCACCUCUCUGUUGGUCCCGUGGCUGUUGCUUUUGAAGGGAAUUCCUGACUUGGAAAACUCUCAAGGAAAAGUACUGCAUAACGGGCAGAAGGGAAUAAGGUUCUUCAAUUGUCCCUCAUGUCUCUGAUCUAGUGGAAAAUGCCAAUCAUCCAUUGGGCAGAUUGCAAUAAUUUUCUUUAUGUUGUUUGCAACUGGAGAAGUCCCAGAAGAGGAUGGACAAAAAAACAUUGCUUUAUUUCCCCAUCCAGGGUGCCAGGUAUGCCAGAGUCAUCUCAAACCAGAACACUUCACAUUUAGUUCAAGGGUUUUAAUGUGCAAUAUUUCUUAUGGAGACAAAUUAUAUCAUCUUUCCAAAGGCAGAGUUUGGAUUGCUACAGGGAGCUCCGAGGACCAUAAUUCUUGUGUAAGAUUGCAUGCACAAGAAUGCCACAUCAAAGCCUUUUAACUGAAGCUUGGCCUUCUAAC
Molecule: long non-coding RNA, 682 nt
Organism: Thamnophis elegans (Western terrestrial garter snake)
Lineage: Eukaryota; Metazoa; Chordata; Lepidosauria; Squamata; Natricidae
Exons: 3
Source: RefSeq, a predicted model, not a curated record